Molecule: ribosomal RNA, 492 nt
Filed under: uncultured bacterium
Lineage: Bacteria
Description: partial 16S ribosomal RNA
Rfam family: Bacterial small subunit ribosomal RNA
Source: RNAcentral
AGUGAACGCUGGCGGUAGGCCUAACACAUGCAAGUCGAACGGCAGCACAGUAAGAGCUUGCUCUUACGGGUGGCGAGUGGCGGACGGGUGAGGAAUACAUCGGAAUCUACUUUUUCGUGGGGGAUAACGUAGGGAAACUUACGCUAAUACCGCAUACGACCUACGGGUGAAAGCAGGGGAUCUUCGGACCUUGCGCGAUUGAAUGAGCCGAUGUCGGAUUAGCUAGUUGGCGGGGUAAAGGCCCACCAAGGCGACGAUCCGUAGCUGGUCUGAGAGGAUGAUCAGCCACACUGGAAAUGAGACACGGUCCAGACACCUACGGGAGGCAGCAGUGGGGAAUAUUGGACAAUGGGCGAAAGCCUGAUCCAGCCAUACCGCGUGGGUGAAGAAGGCCUUCGGGUUGUAAAGCCCUUUUGUUGGGAAAGAAAAGCAGCAGGUUAAUACCCCGCUGUUCUGACGGUACCCAAAGAAUAAGCACCGGCUAACUUCGUG